Molecule: transfer-messenger RNA, 392 nt
Filed under: Luteibacter yeojuensis
Lineage: Bacteria; Pseudomonadati; Pseudomonadota; Gammaproteobacteria; Lysobacterales; Rhodanobacteraceae
Description: Standard tmRNA
Rfam family: transfer-messenger RNA
About the family: Bacterial tmRNA, also known as 10Sa RNA or SsrA, is named for its dual tRNA and mRNA-like properties.
Source: RNAcentral
GGGGGUGUUCUGGCUUCGACGGGGGUAGUGCGAUUGCCUGGUGCAUGCCGAGGGGGCAGCUUUCCUCGUUAAUCCAGCAGCAAAACUCAUAGUUGCCAACGACAACUACUACGGUGACAACCAGGUGGCUCUCGCCGCCUAAGCUGUCCGGCCCCUAAAAAAGGCCAACCGCCCGAACCCACUUGUGCUCGUGCUCGUCGGUGUAGGGUCACUAUCACGGGAUCGCCGAAAGACCCUCCGUCUGGGGGUCUGACGCCAGACUAAUCAGACAUGUCCGCCGGUGCGCUUAGCACGCCGUGCUGUCGGCGGACGAGAUCUAACGGUGAGCUAAGCAUGUAGAUCCGGGGAUUAAACGCCUUCGGACGCGGGUUCGACUCCCGCCACCUCCACCA